GACGAACGCUGGCGGCGUGCUUAACACAUGCAAGUCGAACGGAAAGGCCCUGCUUUUGUGGGGUGCUCGAGUGGCGAACGGGUGAGUAACACGUGAGUAACCUGCCCUUGACUUUGGGAUAACUUCAGGAAACUGGGGCUAAUACCGGAUAGGAGCUCCUGCUGCAUGGUGGGGGUUGGAAAGUUUCGGCGGUUGGGGAUGGACUCGCGGCUUAUCAGCUUGUUGGUGGGGUAGUGGCUUACCAAGGCUUUGACGGGUAGCCGGCCUGAGAGGGUGACCGGCAACAUGGGGAAUGAUACACGGCAGGGCCCCCGCGGGGGGCAGGACGGGGGGUAUAGUGACGAAGGGCCGGAGCCUGGACGCCGCCCCGCCGGGGGGGGGAGGAGGGCUUUCGGUUUGUAAAACAGUUCCGCCUGGGAAGAAGGGGCAGGGAGGGGAAUGGGUAAAGAACACCCGACAACUUCCGUC
This 468-nucleotide ribosomal RNA is filed under the name uncultured bacterium. RNAcentral's name for it is "partial 16S ribosomal RNA". It matches the Rfam family "Bacterial small subunit ribosomal RNA", at positions 28 to 507 of the family's 1533-position model. The record is from RNAcentral.